GACGAACGCUGGCGGCGUGCCUAAUGCAUGCAAGUCGAGCGACGCACCUCGGAGGGGUAACCCACCGAUAUGACGGAGCGGCGAACGGGUGAGUAACACGUGAGCAACCUGCCCCACAGAUCGGGAUAGCCCAGGGAAACCUGGAUUAAUACCGAAUACCCUCGAGUAACCACAUGAUUGUUCGAGGAAAUGCCUUUGUGCUGUGGGAUGGGCUCGCGGCUUAUCAGCUAGUUGGUGGGGUAACGGCCUACCAAGGCAUCGACGAGUAGCUGGUCUGAGAGGACGAUCAGCCACACUGGGACUGAGACACGGCCCAGACUCCUACGGGAGGCAGCAGCAGGGAAUCUUGCGCAAUGGGCGAAAGCCUGACGCAGCAACGCCGCGUGGGGGAUGAAGGCCUUCGGGUUGUAAACCCCUUUCAGGAGGGAAGAAAUUGACGGUACCUCCAAAAGAAGCCCCGGCUAACUACGUG
Molecule: ribosomal RNA, 472 nt
Filed under: uncultured bacterium
Lineage: Bacteria
Description: partial 16S ribosomal RNA
Rfam family: Bacterial small subunit ribosomal RNA
Source: RNAcentral